RNAcentral lists this ribosomal RNA (788 nucleotides) under uncultured Methanospirillum sp. RNAcentral's name for it is "bacterial SSU rRNA". It matches the Rfam family "Archaeal small subunit ribosomal RNA", at positions 86 to 879 of the family's 1478-position model. Lineage: Archaea; Methanobacteriati; Methanobacteriota; Methanomicrobia; Methanomicrobiales; Methanospirillaceae. The record is from RNAcentral.
CUGCUCAGUAACACGUGGACAAUCUGCCNUGAAGAAGAGGAUAAUCCCGGGAAACUGGGGGUAAUACUCUAUAGUCCGGGAGGACUGGAAUGUUCUCCGGAUGAAAGAUCCGUCGCUUCAGGAUGAGUCUGCGGCCGAUUAGGUAGUUGUUGGGGUAAAAGCCCAACAAGCCCGUAAUCGGUACGGGUUGUGGGAGCAAGAGCCCGGAGAUGGAUUCUGAGACACGAAUCCAGGCCCUACGGGGCGCAGCAGGCGCGAAAACUUUACAAUGCGGGCAACCGUGAUAAGGAAACCCCGAGUGCCACCACAGGGUGGCUGUCCACCAGUGUAAAAAACUGGUGAAGAAAGGGCCGGGCAAGACCGGUGCCAGCCGCCGCGGUAAUACCGGCGGCUCGAGUGGUGGCCGCUUUUACUGGGCUUAAAGGGUCCGUAGCUUGAUUCACAAGUCCCUUGAGAAAUCCAUCGGCUUAACUGAUGGGCGUUCAGGGGAUACUGUGGUUCUAGGGACCGGGAGAGGUGAGAGGUACUGCCGGGGUAGGAGUGAAAUCCUGUAAUCCCGGUGGGACGACCUAUGGCGAAGGCAUCUCACCAGAACGGCUCCGACAGUGAGGGACGAAAGCUGGGGGAGCAAACCGGAUUAGAUACCCGGGUAGUCCCAGCUGUAAACGAUGCGCGUUAGGUGUGUCAGUGAUCACGUGUCACUGAGAUGCCGAAGGGAAACCGUGAAACGCGCCGCCUGGGGAGUACGGUCGCAAGGCUGAAACUUAAAGGAAUUGGCGGGGGAGCAC